Molecule: non-coding RNA, 30 nt
Filed under: Mus musculus (house mouse)
Lineage: Eukaryota; Metazoa; Chordata; Mammalia; Rodentia; Muridae
Source: RNAcentral
UUCCUGCACAGAUGCCCGUGGCUGGCGCCG